This is a long non-coding RNA of Aegilops tauschii subsp. strangulata, 676 nucleotides long. RefSeq lists it as uncharacterized. The record is from RefSeq and is a predicted model, not a curated record. Lineage: Eukaryota; Viridiplantae; Streptophyta; Magnoliopsida; Poales; Poaceae.
UUUAAUACUAUAUUGCUAAGGGAUAAUUAAAUGCUAUUUAUAUCUUUCUUACAAAAAUAGCACAUAACUGCCUACCAAUAGAUUGCUCUAAAAAAUGAGCUUUAUAUUUAGUUUGGGUUUGGCAAAUUGUAAUGUAUUAAUUAUUUCCCUAUUUUAGCAUGACUAGUUAAUUUGUUCUUAUCUCCAAACAUGUGGGCAUCCUAUAUAAAAGGCAUCCAUUGGCAUUACACUAACAUAUCAGAAUCUGUAGAGCAUAGUUCUAGCGGCUAUAACAAGAGAUGAGGACUACACAAAUUCUACUCUUAGGCCUUGCCCUCGUCCUUCUAUCCUCGGGCAUCAUGGAAACCAUCGAGGCACGUGGAGCCUGCUGCCCUCAGAUCGAAAAGGGGAAGUGUAAUAACAAUGAUUGUGCGACUUAUUGCAAGAUGGUGAAUGGUUGGGAAUGGGGUUGUGUCCCUGAGGGAUGCACGUGUGUAUCGUGCUGGAAAGAUCCACAAUGCUCAGGGCCAGAAGUACCACCACCUUCAAGACACUUGAUUUAACAUUUUCUUUCAUGCUUGUGGUAUUACCAUACAAAAAAAUAUGAGUCCCGAGUAGACAAAUAAUAUGUGUCAACUUUCAAGGUCUAUGUGAGCAAAGAGAAAUAGCAAGACAUAUGUCGAGAAUUUCUCGGUCA